AGAUUGUGUGACCUAAUACUUCUUUUAUUACAGCACUAACUUUUUCCACAUCUAAAAGUCCUCAGAAUUUUUGGAAAUAUAAUGUUUUGACAUCAAAAUUCAAGAGUAUUGGGCUGAGGACAUAGUUCAGUUGGUAGAGUGCUUACCUCACAUGCACAAGGCCCUGGGUUCAAUCCUCAGCACCACAGGAAGAAAAAAAAAUUUCAAGAGUAUUACCUUCUCGUAUUAUUCUUUCAUCAUCUAUUGUUGAUAGAUAUCAAUAUUGAUCUUUAGGAUUUGGGGAAUUGGUGAAGUAAGUCUAUAAAUUGAUAUUGUUUUCCCAAAUAUGAUCUUACUUGACUGUAUCUGUAUUUUGUAAGAUUUAUCUGUCCAGCUAAUAUGCAAGUCGACAUGCAUAGUAAUAUCCCCACCACAUUUCUAACAAAUUGUUAUAGAAAUUUGUUACAGUUUGGAUCUAGAAAUGUUCCUUGAAAAGCCCAUGUUUCAAAAGCAUGAUCCCUAAUGCAGAAAUGUUCAGAGGUGAAAUGAUUAGAUCAUGAGAGCUAUGUGAAACCUCAUCAGGGGCUUAAUCCAUUUGAUGGAUUAAUAAUUCAAAUAGAUUGUAUGGUGGUAACUGUAUGCAAGUGUGGCAUAGCUGAAGGAAGGCCAUCACAGGGGGAGUACACUUAGGGAUCAUGUCUUGUUCCUGGCUCUUCACUUUCUUUCUACUUCCCAGUUGCCAUGAGCUGAGCAGUUUUCCUUUUCUAUGCCUUCUACUGUGACUUUCUGCCAUAGGCCCAGAGCGAUAGAGUCAACUGAACAUAGACUGAAGCUCUGAAACCAAAAUAAACUUUUUCUCCUGUAAGUUGUUCUUGUUAGGUAUUUGGAGCACAGUGAUGAAAAUUGACUGACACAACAUUUAACAUUUUUAUUAUCAUAUUGUCUUCUUUUGUCUCUUGCUGUAUAUAACCAAGACAGAAUAUAAUACCAUAUACUAUAACACAUGAUAUAUAAUCACUCCCUAGUAAUGUAAUCAUUCCCUAAUAAUGAUUGGUUCUAUCAGUCUAUUAAGUAAAACAGAGCAUAUUCAUUCAGUUGUUGUUCUUGCCAGGCGGUGUGCCAAGCAAUAGCAAUUGGGAAACAGGAUUUGAAGGUCUUAGGUCCUUCCCUCAGUCUAGCUUAGACAAUUAGUAAAACAAGGCUUUACUCAUUAAGACCACAUUAAUGAGCUAUUAUAAAGUGAGUAUCAGAUUAGCUGCCAAAUUGACAGUACCUUUAAUUUAAAAGACAGACAAUUGUAGACUGGAGUGUUUUGAAGAGUUCAUGUUUAACUGGACUAAGAAGAGAGUUUGGAAUAUCAGGUUGUUAUAAAGUAGUAGCAGUUAGAAG
Molecule: long non-coding RNA, 1368 nt
Filed under: Marmota monax (woodchuck)
Lineage: Eukaryota; Metazoa; Chordata; Mammalia; Rodentia; Sciuridae
Source: RNAcentral